UGAUCCUGGCUCAGGAUGAACGCUAGCGGCAGGCUUAACACAUGCAAGUCGAGGGGUAUAGUUCUUCGGAACUAGAGACCGGCGCACGGGUGCGUAACGCGUAUGCAAUCUACCUUUUACAGAGGGAUAGCCCAGAGAAAUUUGGAUUAAUACCUCAUAGUAUAAUGACUUGGCAUCAAGACAUUAUUAAAGUCACAACGGUAAAAGAUGAGCAUGCGUCCCAUUAGCUAGUUGGUAAGGUAACGGCUUACCAAGGCUACGAUGGGUAGGGGUCCUGAGAGGGAGAUCCCCCACACUGGUACUGAGACACGGACCAGACUCCUACGGGAGGCAGCAGUGAGGAAUAUUGGACAAUGGGCGCAAGCCUGAUCCAGCCAUGCCGCGUGCAGGAUGACGGUCCUAUGGAUUGUAAACUGCUUUUAUACGAGAAGAAACACUACUUCGUGAAGUAGCUUGACGGUAUCGUAAGAAUAAGGAU
RNAcentral lists this ribosomal RNA (478 nucleotides) under Flavobacterium sp. DB4.4-1. RNAcentral's name for it is "bacterial SSU rRNA". It matches the Rfam family "Bacterial small subunit ribosomal RNA", at positions 14 to 493 of the family's 1533-position model. The record is from RNAcentral. Lineage: Bacteria; Pseudomonadati; Bacteroidota; Flavobacteriia; Flavobacteriales; Flavobacteriaceae.